CUAAAUACAUAUUGUUUGCAAUAACUUUGGAUUUUUUCUGAAAGUUGUAAGCUUAGCUUGAGCAAAAUUUCUUAUUGGUGGCUUUAGGGGAUUUCCUUUAGGCAUUAUUUGAAGACAUAUGAGGACAUCUUCCGUUGGUUCUAACUAUAUUAUGCUACAUUUUUUGUAUUGUUAUAAAACAUCUUAAGUUAUUGUAUGUGUUUUAAACAAUUAUUGUAUGGAAGGAGUUUGAAUUGGAUACUUGUUUUAAUUUUAACUUGUGGAAUGUAUGGAUCGAUUUUUUAUAAA
This is a long non-coding RNA of Quercus robur (English oak), 288 nucleotides long. RefSeq lists it as uncharacterized. The transcript has 2 exons. Lineage: Eukaryota; Viridiplantae; Streptophyta; Magnoliopsida; Fagales; Fagaceae. The record is from RefSeq and is a predicted model, not a curated record.